RNAcentral lists this ribosomal RNA (700 nucleotides) under uncultured bacterium. RNAcentral describes it as "bacterial SSU rRNA". It matches the Rfam family "Bacterial small subunit ribosomal RNA", at positions 94 to 788 of the family's 1533-position model. The record is from RNAcentral.
AGCGGCGAACGGGUGAGGAAUACAUGGGUAACCUACCCUCGAGUGGGGAAUAACUAACCGAAAGGUUAGCUAAUACCGCAUACGGCUCCUGGUCUGCGGAUCGGGAGAGAAAGCGAUACCGUGGGUAUCGCGCUCUUGGAUGGGCUCAUGUCCUAUCAGCUUGUUGGUGAGGUAACGGCUCACCAAGGCUUCGACGGGUAGCUGGUCUGAGAGGACGAUCAGCCACACUGGCACUGCGACACGGGCCAGACUCCUACGGGAGGCAGCAGUAAGGAAUAUUGCGCAAUGGGCGACAGCCUGACGCAGCGACGCCGCGUGGGGGAUGAAGGUCUUCGGAUUGUAAACCCCUUUCGGCAGGGAAGAUGGAACGGGUAACCGUUCGGACGGUACCUGCAGAAGCAGCCACGGCUAACUUCGCGCCAGCAGCCGCGGUAAUACGAAGGUGGCAAGCGUUGUUCGGAUUUACUGGGCGUACAGGGAGCGUAGGCGGUUGGGUAAGCCCUCCGUGAAAUCUCCGGGCCUAACCCGGAAAGUGCGGAGGGGACUGCUCGGCUAGAGGAUGGGAGAGGAGCGCGGAAUUCCCGGUGUAGCGGUGAAAUGCGUAGAGAUCGGGAGGAAGGCCGGUGGCGAAGGCGGCGCUCUGGAACAUUUCUGACGCUGAGGCUCGAAAGCGUGGGGAGCAAACAGGAUUAGAUACCCU